This 639-nucleotide ribosomal RNA is filed under the name uncultured bacterium. Its description in RNAcentral is "bacterial SSU rRNA". It matches the Rfam family "Bacterial small subunit ribosomal RNA", at positions 97 to 728 of the family's 1533-position model. The record is from RNAcentral.
GGCGGACGGGUGAGGAAUGCGUCGGUAUCUGACCCAGUCGUGGGGGAUAACGUAGGGAAACUUACGCUAAUACCGCAUGCGCCCUAAGGGGGAAAGCGGGGGACCGAAAGGCCUCGCGCGAUUGGAUCAGCCGACGCCGGAUUAGCUAGUUGGUGCGGUAAAGGCCCACCAAGGCGACGAUCCGUAGCUGGUCUGAGAGGAUGAUCAGCCACACUGGGACUGCGACACGGCCCAGACUCCUACGGGAGGCAGCCAGUGGGGAAUAUUGGACCAUGGGCGCAAGCCUGAUCCAGCCAUGCCGCGUGUCUGAAGAAGGCCUUCGGGUUGUAAAGCACUUUUGUCCGGGAAGAAAACCCCGGGGCAAAUACCCACGGGGAAUGACGGUACCGGAAGAAUAAGCACCGGCUAACUACGUGCCAGCAGCCGCGGUAAUACGAAGGGUGCAAGCGUUACUCGGAAUUACUGGGCGUAAAAGCGUGCGUAGGAGGUUUGUUAAGUCAGAUGUGAAAGCCCCGGGCUCAACCUGGGAACUGCUUUUGAUACUGGCGAGCUAGAGUACGGUAGAGGGUGGUGGAAUUCCCGGUGUAGCGGUGAAAUGUCGUAGAGAUCGGGAGGAACUUCUGUGGCGAACGCGGCCAC